CCUACGGGAGGCAGCAGUGGGGAAUAUUGCACAAUGGGGGAAACCCUGAUGCAGCGACGCCGCGUGAGCGAUGAAGUAUUUCGGUAUGUAAAGCUCUAUCAGCAGGGAAGCAAAUGACGGUACCUGACUAAGAAGCCCCGGCUAACUACGUGCCAGCAGCCGCGGUUAUACGUAGGGGGCAAGCGUUAUCCGGAUUUACUGGGUGUAAAGGGGGCGUAGACGGCGAUGCAAGCCAGAUGGGAAAGCCCGGGGCCCAACCCCGGGACUGCAGUUGGAACUGGCUAGCUGGAGUGUCGGAGAGGCAGGUGGAAUGCCUAGUGUAGCGGUGAAAUGCGUAGAUAUCAGGAGGAACACCAGUGGCGAAGGCGGCAUGCUGGACGAUGACUGACGCUGAGGCUCGAAAGCGUGGGGAGCAAACAGGAUUAGAUACCCUGGUAGUC
RNAcentral lists this ribosomal RNA (440 nucleotides) under uncultured bacterium. RNAcentral's name for it is "partial 16S ribosomal RNA". It matches the Rfam family "Bacterial small subunit ribosomal RNA", at positions 338 to 795 of the family's 1533-position model. The record is from RNAcentral.